ACGGAAGGCAGCAGUGGGGAAUAUUGCACAAUGGGCGCAAGCCUGAUGCAGCGAUGCCGCGUGAGGGAAGAAGGUUUUCGGAUUGUAAACCUCUGUCCUCAGGGACGAUAAUGACGGUACCUGAGGAGGAAGCUCCGGCUAACUACGUGCCAGCAGCCGCGGUAAUACGUAGGGAGCGAGCGUUGUCCGGAAUUACUGGGUGUAAAGGGUGCGUAGGCGGGGCGGCAAGUCAGAUGUGAAAUGUAUGGGCUCAACCCAUGAACUGCAUUUGAAACUGUUGCUCUUGAGUGAGGUAGAGGUAAGCGGAAUUCCUAGUGUAGCGGUGAAAUGCGUAGAUAUUAGGAGGAACACCAGUGGCGAAGGCGGCUUACUGGACUGUAACUGACGUUGAGGCUCGAAAGCGUGGGGAGCAAACAGGAUUAGAUACCCUGGUA
RNAcentral lists this ribosomal RNA (434 nucleotides) under uncultured Ruminococcus sp. Its description in RNAcentral is "bacterial SSU rRNA". It matches the Rfam family "Bacterial small subunit ribosomal RNA", at positions 341 to 792 of the family's 1533-position model. Lineage: Bacteria; Bacillati; Bacillota; Clostridia; Eubacteriales; Oscillospiraceae. The record is from RNAcentral.